RNAcentral lists this ribosomal RNA (253 nucleotides) under uncultured bacterium. Its description in RNAcentral is "partial 16S ribosomal RNA". It matches the Rfam family "Bacterial small subunit ribosomal RNA", at positions 524 to 776 of the family's 1533-position model. The record is from RNAcentral.
UACAGAGGGUGCGAGCGUUAAUCGGAAUUACUGGGCGUAAAGCGCGCGUAGGCGGCUUUGCAAGUCGAGUGUGAAAGCCCCCGGCUCAACUGGGGAGGGUCAUUCGAUACUGAUCGACUCGAAGGCAGGAGAGGGUAGUGGAAUUCCCGGUGUAGUGGUGAAAUGCGUAGAUAUCGGGAGGAACACCAGUGGCGAAGGCGACUACCUGGCCUGUUCUUGACGCUGAGGCGCGAAAGCUAGGGGAGCAAACGGG